Molecule: non-coding RNA, 117 nt
Filed under: Homo sapiens (human)
Lineage: Eukaryota; Metazoa; Chordata; Mammalia; Primates; Hominidae
Source: Rfam by way of RNAcentral
GCCAGGUGUGGUGGCUCACACCUGUAAUCCCAGCACUUUGGGAGGCUGAGGUGGAUGGAUCACCUGAGGUCAGGAGUUCAAGACUAGCCUGGCCAAUAUGGUGAAACCCCAUCUCUA